AGCAGCCGCGGUAAUUCCAGCUCCAAUAGCGUAUAUUAAAGUUGUUGCAGUUAAAAAGCUCGUAGUUGAAUUUCGGGGUCAGUAGGUUGGUCAUGCCACUGGUAUGUACUGGUCUCACUGAUUCCUCCUUCCUGAUGAGCCGUAAUGCCAUUAAUUUGGUGUUGCGAGGAAUCUGGACUGUUACUUUGAAAAAAUUGAGUGUUUAAAGCAGGCUAACGCUUGAAUACAUUAGCAUGGAAUAAUGAAAUAGGACGUUCGAUCUUAUUUUGUUGGUUUCUAAGAUUGACGUAAUGAUUAAUAGGGAUAGUUGGGGCAUUAGUAUUCAAUUGUCAGAGGUGAAAUUCUUGGAUUUAUUGAAGACUAACUACUGCGAAAGCAUUUGCCAAGGUAUGUUUUCAUUUAAUCAAGAACGAAAGUUUAGGGGAAUCAAAGUACGAUCAGAUACCGUGUAGUCUUAACCAUUAAACUAUGCCGACUAGGGUAUCGGGAUGUAUUGUUUAAAUUUUUUAUAGUACUUCGU
This 520-nucleotide ribosomal RNA is filed under the name uncultured Glomus. RNAcentral describes it as "SSU rRNA". It matches the Rfam family "Eukaryotic small subunit ribosomal RNA", at positions 569 to 1082 of the family's 1831-position model. The record is from RNAcentral. Lineage: Eukaryota; Fungi; Glomeromycota; Glomeromycetes; Glomerales; Glomeraceae.